GAUACUGGGUGUCAGCUUUUAUGGUAGGAAAACAGUUGGUCUAUUUCUAAGCUGAACUUACAAUUCAGAGCUUUCAUCUGAGAAAGGAAACAUGUGGAGAAACGGAGAACAUUUCUUCCAGCUUCUGUAUCACCAUUCCAUGAAAACAGAGAUAGAGUCAGGGAUUUAAUAUAAAGCAGCUGGUGAAGAACCCCUAUUUGAAAAGCACCCCACCCAUGGGACAUUCUCACUGCUAUCAUGUACGUCACACAUUACAUCAUUGAUUUGACUUUAACCUCCAUAUGGGCAGAAUACUGGGAAGGAAAGGGGAAAGCUAGGUUUUAAAGACAGUGUGAUUAGAUGAUCACCUCUUGUCCUUUGCAAAUGUCUUUGUCACUGAUUUCUAUGAUUUCAGUGAGUUGCAGACACCUUGAAAAAGCAUUUGAGUUGAGUCUGUACGUCAUUUAUGAAAGUACUGACUGCUCCAGAGCUUUUCACGCUUAUUUUGUUCCAGUUCCAUGGGUGAUGGUGACUCCUUAAAUUCAACUCAAAGUCAGAAUAUAUUUCCACCAUAAGAAUCUUGAAUGGUUAUUUUAGAGUGAGUGCCCUAGGAGUCCCUUAGAAAUGUUAAUACCACACUAAGAGCCAGGGAAGAGCCAUUAACAGACUGAGAAUUGGAACUGCAAAGUGAAAAUGAGAUGUCAUCUACAUAGGAUGAAAUGAAGCAAGGAGAACUCUGAAGGAAAAUUUGGCUGAGAAAUAAUGGCUGUAGCCUGUGAGGGAGAGCUGAACCAAGUUAACAGUAAAGGUACAUAUGGAAGAACACUGUAAGGACAGUCACCGACUUAUGUGAUUGACUCCAUGGUGUGGGGACAAAGCACCAAGCAGGCUUUAUAUGAAUCUCAACCCAGAUGACGAAGAUAAUGAAGAAGAGAGGAAGUUCAGAUACUAAAACGGGUCAGGAAAAGUGGAGCUUCACAUUCACUCGGGAGGCGUGGUGAUCAUGUCACCUGAGGAUGGAUUACAACACUGGCGGUAACCCUGAAAAUAAACUUCAACCAAUUCAUAGAACUGUAAAUAUUAAAAGCAGUAUCUAGACAUCCCAGAGUUAGAAAACAGUGAUGUUAAAUCAAUAGACAAAUUAAAAUAUAACUGUACAGCUGACAUCAAUAUAAGAGAAUGAAAAAGAAAAUAAAUGAAGGUAACAAGCUUAUUAAAUGAGCUUUGAAUAUA
This is a long non-coding RNA of Peromyscus maniculatus bairdii (prairie deer mouse), 1212 nucleotides long. RefSeq lists it as uncharacterized. NCBI's taxonomy places the organism in Eukaryota, Metazoa, Chordata, Mammalia, Rodentia, Cricetidae. The record is from RefSeq and is a predicted model, not a curated record.